Oncorhynchus keta (chum salmon) is the source of this 566-nucleotide long non-coding RNA. RefSeq lists it as uncharacterized. Lineage: Eukaryota; Metazoa; Chordata; Actinopteri; Salmoniformes; Salmonidae. The transcript is spliced from 3 exons. The record is from RefSeq and is a predicted model, not a curated record.
AUAACUGUGUGUGUGUCCAGGUUAAAUAUAUAUAACUGUGUGUGUCCCCAGGUUAAAUAUAUAUAACUGUGUGUCCCCAGGUUAAAUAUAUAUAACUGUGUGUCCCCAGGUUAAAUAUAUAUAACUGUGUGUGUCCAGGUUAAAUAUAUAUAACUGUGUGUGUCCCCAGGUUAAAUAUAUAUAACUGUGUGUGUCCUCAGGUUAAAUAUAUAUAACUGUGUGUGUCCAGGUUAAAUAUAUAUAACUGUGUGUGUCCCCAGGUUAAAUAUAUAUAACUGUGUGUGUCCAGGUUAAAUAUAUAUAACUGUGUGUCCCCAGGUUAAAUAUAUAUAACUGUGUGUGUCCCCAGGUUAAAUAUAUAUAACUGUGUGUGUCCCCAGGUUAAAUAUAUAUAACUGUGUGUGUCCAGGUUAAAUAUAUAUAACUGUGUGUGUGUCCAGGUUAAAUAUAUAUAACUGUGUGUGUCCAGGUUAAAUAUAUAUAACUGUGUGUGUGUCCAGGUUAAAUAUAUAUAACUGUGUGUGUCCAGGUUAAAUAUAUAUAACUGUGUGUGUGUCCAGGUUAAA